This 30-nucleotide non-coding RNA is filed under the name Rattus norvegicus (Norway rat). Lineage: Eukaryota; Metazoa; Chordata; Mammalia; Rodentia; Muridae. The record is from RNAcentral.
AGCCAUGGGUGACUCAUUAGGUUUUGUACA